AAUCCAUAGGUUAAUGAGGCGAACCGGGGGAACUGAAACAUCUAAGUACCCCGAGGAAAAGAAAUCAACCGAGAUUCCCCCAGUAGCGGCGAGCGAACGGGGAGGAGCCCAGAGCCUGAAUCAGCAUGUGUGUUAGUGGAAGCGUCUGGAAAGGCGCGCGAUACAGGGUGACAGCCCCGUACACAAAAGCGCAUGUGCUGUGAGCUCGAUGAGUAGGGCGGGACACGUGGUAUCCUGUCUGAAUAUGGGGGGACCAUCCUCCAAGGCUAAAUACUCCUGACUGACCGAUAGUGAACCAGUACCGUGAGGGAAAGGCGAAAAGAACCCCGGCGAGGGGAGUGAAAAAGAACCUGAAACCGUGUACGUACAAGCAGUGGGAGCACCCUUUGGGGUGUGACUGCGUACCUUUUGUAUAAUGGGUCAGCGACUUAUAUUCUGUAGCAAGGUUAACCGUAUAGGGGAGCCGGAGGGAAACCGAGUCUUAAUUGGGCGUUAAGUUGCAGGGUAUAGAC
RNAcentral lists this ribosomal RNA (512 nucleotides) under Salmonella enterica subsp. enterica. Its description in RNAcentral is "partial 23S ribosomal RNA". It matches the Rfam family "Bacterial large subunit ribosomal RNA", at positions 161 to 714 of the family's 2925-position model. Lineage: Bacteria; Pseudomonadati; Pseudomonadota; Gammaproteobacteria; Enterobacterales; Enterobacteriaceae. The record is from RNAcentral.